GUGGCGCUAUGCUGUUGGUGACGGUGGUGGCCGCCGCGGCGCUGCUGGGGGCGUGUGGGGCUGAGACCCCCACCCCGGAGACGCCCCUGGCCCCAUUGACGCUGUGGGGCCGCGUGGAGGAGGCGGCCAAGAACUUCAGCGACCGCCUGUGGGGCAGCGAUGUGGGGCAGACCGUGCAGUCGCUGCUGACGGUGCUGCGCUCGGAGGCGGCGGACGCGCGGCUCCGCGUUGCGGAGUACGGGGCGGAGGUGGAGCAAAGCGUCGCCUCCCUCAGCAAACGCCUCCGCCGCCGUUUCUCCCGCGACGGCGAAGAGCUCCGCUCCCGGUGGGGCCAAUACCGCCAAGCCGUGCAAG
RNAcentral lists this unclassified non-coding RNA (354 nucleotides) under Hevea brasiliensis (rubber tree). The record is from RNAcentral. Lineage: Eukaryota; Viridiplantae; Streptophyta; Magnoliopsida; Malpighiales; Euphorbiaceae.